This 497-nucleotide ribosomal RNA is filed under the name uncultured bacterium. Its description in RNAcentral is "partial 16S ribosomal RNA". It matches the Rfam family "Bacterial small subunit ribosomal RNA", at positions 28 to 507 of the family's 1533-position model. The record is from RNAcentral.
GAUGAACGCUGGCGGCGUGCCUAAUACAUGCAAGUCGAGCGAACGGACGAGAAGCUUGCUUCUCUGAUGUUAGCGGCGGACGGGUGAGUAACACGUGGAUAACCUACCUAUAAGACUGGGAUAACUUCGGGAAACCGGAGCUAAUACCGGAUAAUAUUUUGAACCGCAUGGUUCAAAAGUGAAUGACGGUCCUGCUGUCACUUAUAGCUGGAUCCGCGCUGCAUUAGCUAGUUGGUAAGGUAACGGCUUACCAAGGCAACGAUGCAUAGCCGACCUGAGAGGGUGAUCGGCCACACUGGAACUGAGACACGGUCCAGACUCCUACGGGAGGCAGCAGUAGGGAAUCUUCCGCAAUGGGCGAAAGCCUGACGGAGCAACGCCGCGUGAGUGAUGAAGGUCUUCGGAUCGUAAAACUCUGUUAUUAGGGAAGAACAUAUGUGUAAGUAACUGUGCACAUCUUGACGGUACCUAAUCAGAAAGCAACGGCUAACUACGUG